GGGUCAGUUUGUAGGUGAGGGGUAUGUAGAAAUCGUGCGAAAAUGGGUGAAACUCGUGGGGGGCAAUCUCGCUCGGGCGAACUAGCUGUUUUGCUCGUUGCAGCGCAUGCGCUGUGCUGUCUUUGAAUGUGUGCGUGCGUCAAAAGCGAGCAAAACGCCGCUGUGUCAAAAAAUGUGUAAACAAACUCAGUUGGAGUUCAGAAAAGUAAACAUGCGCAAUCCGCUUGGUUAUGUGCAAAAAUUCGUGAAAUAAUCUAAAUAUUCUUUAUUUUGAACAGAUCUUACUUAUAACCGAUAUGUGCAGUGCCGUGGAAUAACAAAAAUUGCUUCAAAAAAGCUUUGUGUGUGGCUGAUACUCUAGCAUCUUUCCAUGUGUGUAAACAACGCCGAGAGUAUUACUGUUUUGUGAUCAUCAUAUUUCAUUCGGAUUGCACAUUACCGGGCAGAAAAAGCUUCAAGCAACCAAUUUUGUACAGCAUCCGCACGCUGUAUGAAGGUGUAAAACAAAUUUUCAUCUGUAAGAUGCUCUUCAAACCUGUCCAGUGACUCUUCGUUGCUUAUAUAUUGCAUCGGGAUGGUUUGAGCAUUGCGUCGCACGCCUUUCAUCGGGUGUAUUGUGGCCACUACCGCAGCCGUUUGGGCAGUUCGGGCAUCCAGUUUUAAUAAUGAACAUUGUGAACAAAAAUCGUGCCCAGGACAAGUUCUUUUUGCUUGAAUUAACUUUGUGUUCUUAUUUACAUUAAUAGAUACGGUGGACGGAUGAAUGCUGCUUGCUGACGACUGCUCUUCGUGAAAUGUUGAUCCCGGUGAUGAAACACACGGUUCCGGUGUCAUGCUUGGUGACGGCUGACGGGAUCCUUGAUGCACGACAGUCGUUUUUGUUGGUCGCGCAACGUCAUGCGCGCAUGAACCAGCAGCUGAAGCAACAGACGAUUUCGGCGUCGCACUUGUAGUCGGCUGCGAUCCUUGCAUUUGUUCGUCAAACGAUCCUAACGAUCACGAUCCAACGAUCGGAACUAGCAGGCACAAGAAUCAUCCCACGUAUCGCUUUCGUUGAGGGCUGCGUUCCUCGCUUUUGUUCCAUCGAUCCUGCCGGACGCGUAGCGAUAUCCACGGAACCAGCAGUGAGAGCAGUAGAAGAUUCCGACGUCGCAGAUGAUCCUGCCGGUCGCGUAGCGAUAUCCAUGGAACCAGCACCGGGGGCAAGAGACGGUUCCGGCGUCGGUCUUGAUGACGUUCGCGGUCCAAAAACACGGACGAUCGCGCCUGUGGAGCAUAAUACAGCCCAAGGCAGUUGUUGCAGUGCAAAAAGGCGCCCUUUCUUUGGUGGUUCCGACAUUACAUUUUGGCUGAAAUAAUCAAUCGUUUUAUUAUUAUUUAUGUGAAACUGCUGAGUUGUAUUUGAAUGCUGCUUUGCGGUUUGAAAUCUCGAUGUUUAUGUUUUCAGCUGUGAAUUUCAAUAAAGGGUAACAAUCACA
Anopheles stephensi (Asian malaria mosquito) is the source of this 1478-nucleotide long non-coding RNA. RefSeq lists it as uncharacterized. Lineage: Eukaryota; Metazoa; Arthropoda; Insecta; Diptera; Culicidae. The record is from RefSeq and is a predicted model, not a curated record. The transcript is spliced from 3 exons.